RNAcentral lists this ribosomal RNA (252 nucleotides) under uncultured bacterium. RNAcentral's name for it is "partial 16S ribosomal RNA". It matches the Rfam family "Bacterial small subunit ribosomal RNA", at positions 524 to 775 of the family's 1533-position model. The record is from RNAcentral.
CACGUAGGGCGCGAGCGUUGUCCGGAAUUAUUGGGCGUAAAGAGCUCGUAGGCGGCCUGUUGCGUCCGCUGUGAAAGCCCGGGGCUUAACCCCGGGUCGGCAGUGGAUACGGGCAGGCUAGAGGUAGGUAGGGGAGAAUGGAAUUCCCGGUGUAGCGGUGAAAUGCGCAGAUAUCGGGAGGAACACCGGUGGCGAAGGCGGUUCUCUGGGCCUUACCUGACGCUGAGGAGCGAAAGCGUGGGGAGCGAACAG